UACGAAGGGGGCUAGCGUUGUUCGGAUUUACUGGGCGUAAAGCGCACGUAGGCGGACUGUUAAGUCAGGGGUGAAAUCCCGGGGCUCAACCCCGGAACUGCCUUUGAUACUGGUAGUCUUGAGUUCGAGAGAGGUGAGUGGAAUUCCGAGUGUAGAGGUGAAAUUCGUAGAUAUUCGGAGGAACACCAGUGGCGAAGGCGGCUCACUGGCUCGAUACUGACGCUGAGGUGCGAAAGCGUGGGGAGCAAACAGG
This 253-nucleotide ribosomal RNA is filed under the name uncultured bacterium. RNAcentral's name for it is "partial 16S ribosomal RNA". It matches the Rfam family "Bacterial small subunit ribosomal RNA", at positions 524 to 776 of the family's 1533-position model. The record is from RNAcentral.